AAUCUUCCACAAUGGGCGAAAGCCUGAUGGAGCAACGCCGCGUGAGGGAAGAAGGUUUUCGGAUCGUAAAACUCUGUUGUUAGGGAAGAACAAGUAACGUUCGAAUAGGGCGGUACCUUGACGGUACCUAACCAGAAAUCAACGGCUAACUACGUGGCAGCAGCCGCGGUAAUACGGAGGAGGCAAGCGUUAUCCGGAAUUAUUGGGCGUAAAGCGAGCGCAGGCGGUUUCUUAAGUCUGAUGUGAAAGCCCACGGCUCAACCGUGGAGGGUCAUUGGAAACUGGGAAGCUUGAGUGCAGAAGAGGAGAGUGGAAUUCCAUGUGUAGCGGUGAAAUGCGUAGAGAUAUGGAGGAAACCCAGUGGCGAAGGCGACUCUCUGGUCUGCAACUGACGCUGAGGCGCGAAAGCGUGGGGAGCGAAC
This 422-nucleotide ribosomal RNA is filed under the name uncultured bacterium. RNAcentral describes it as "partial 16S ribosomal RNA". It matches the Rfam family "Bacterial small subunit ribosomal RNA", at positions 360 to 773 of the family's 1533-position model. The record is from RNAcentral.